RNAcentral lists this long non-coding RNA (213 nucleotides) under Elaeis guineensis (African oil palm). RNAcentral's name for it is "long non-coding RNA (EGUI_LNC025443)". Lineage: Eukaryota; Viridiplantae; Streptophyta; Magnoliopsida; Arecales; Arecaceae. The record is from RNAcentral.
AAAUCAUGUCCAAGAAAGAGGGAAGGCAGGAGACAGUCAUAGCUCUCCAGGGUUGGCAUCCAACCAUCUUCCAGAUCAAGCAUGCUCGCAGAUAGCAAAGUAAGACAUGUUCCAUUAUCUCAUCCUCCAAUCCAUAACAGGAUAGGCAACAAGUAGCUCUAUACCUUUAUCUUUGAGAAGUACCCGAGUCGGAAGUCAGUCCCAAACCACCUU